GAUGAACGCUGGCGGCGUGCCUAAUACAUGCAAGUCGAGCGAACAGACGAGGAGCUUGCUCCUCUGACGUUAGCGGUGGACGGGUGAGUAACACGUGGAUAACCUACCUAUAAGACUGGGAUAACUUCGGGAAACCGGAGCUAAUACUGGAUAAUAUAUUGAACCGCAUGGUUCAAUAGUGAAAGACGGUUUUGCUGUCACUUAUAGAUGGAUCCGCGCCGCAUUAGCUAGUUGGUAAGGUAACGGCUUACCAAGGCAACGAUGCGUAGCCGACCUGAGAGGGUGAUCGGCCACACUGGAACUGAGACACGGUCCAGACUCCUACGGGAGGCAGCAGUAGGGAAUCUUCCGCAAUGGGCGAAAGCCUGACGGAGCAACGCCGCGUGAGUGAUGAAGGUCUUCGGAUCGUAAAACUCUGUUAUUAGGGAAGAACAAAUGUGUAAGUAACUAUGCACGUCUUGACGGUACCUAAUCAGAAAGCCACGGCUAACUACGUG
This 497-nucleotide ribosomal RNA is filed under the name uncultured bacterium. RNAcentral's name for it is "partial 16S ribosomal RNA". It matches the Rfam family "Bacterial small subunit ribosomal RNA", at positions 28 to 507 of the family's 1533-position model. The record is from RNAcentral.